AAACUAUAUUAAAAAUUAUGUUUCACUAUUCUUGACAUUUUUUUGUCUUUUAGUUUAGAUUAAUAAUUAAUUCUUGUUCAUCUUUUGAACUAUACCUGUGAACGAGUAUUUUUUCAAAAUUAGAUGGACGUGGGUUCAAUUCCCAUCAGCUCCA
This 154-nucleotide small RNA is filed under the name Thalassionema frauenfeldii. Its description in RNAcentral is "partial transfer-messenger RNA". The record is from RNAcentral. Lineage: Eukaryota; Bacillariophyta; Fragilariophyceae; Thalassionematales; Thalassionemataceae.